UGAACGACUCUCGGCAACGGAUAUCUCGGCUCUUGCAUCGAUGAAGAACGUAGCGAAAUGCGAUACUUGGUGUGAAUUGCAGAAUCCCGUGAACCAUCGAGUUUUUGAACGCAAGUUGCGCCCGAGGCCUUCUGGUCGAGGGCACGUCUGCCUGGGCGUCACGC
Molecule: ribosomal RNA, 164 nt
Filed under: Thalictrum cultratum
Lineage: Eukaryota; Viridiplantae; Streptophyta; Magnoliopsida; Ranunculales; Ranunculaceae
Description: 5.8S ribosomal RNA
Rfam family: 5.8S ribosomal RNA
About the family: 5.8S ribosomal RNA (5.8S rRNA) is a component of the large subunit of the eukaryotic ribosome. It is transcribed by RNA polymerase I as part of the 45S precursor that also contains 18S and 28S rRNA.
Source: RNAcentral